Molecule: ribosomal RNA, 253 nt
Filed under: uncultured bacterium
Lineage: Bacteria
Description: partial 16S ribosomal RNA
Rfam family: Bacterial small subunit ribosomal RNA
Source: RNAcentral
UACGGGGGGAGCAAGCGUUGUUCGGAUUUACUGGGCGUAAAGGGCGCGUAGGCGGCGCAACAAGUCACUUGUGAAAUCUCCGGGCUUAACCCGGAGCGGCCAAGUGAUACUGUCGUGCUAGAGUGCGGAAGGGGCUACUGGAAUUCUCGGUGUAGCGGUGAAAUGCGUAGAUAUCGAGAGGAACACCUGCGGCGAAGGCGGCAUCCUGGACCGGCAUUGACGCUGAGGAGCGAAAGCUAGGGGAGCAAACGGG